UGAAUUAUGUCAGCGUAGAGAAUAUUUAACAUUUUCCUGCGAGAUGUGACAAAAUGAAAUACCGUAGGGAAGUUUAGCAUGUAGGAGUUGUGUGCGCAUGAUUUCACAUUAUAUUUGUGGCUGAACAUGAGGACGCAGCUGUUGACAGCUUCAGCAUUGUUUGCCGUAAACAACAUCCUUCCUCCCAUCGAGGAUGCUGCACACAUACCUUGGUCACAUCUGGCACCUUUCCAUCCUGGGCUGCAGUAACAUGUUCCUGUUAUGUGGUCACAAGUGGAAUUGUGGAGGCAGUCACAAACCUGGCGGCACCCAUAGCCAUAAGUUCCAGAUGGGCAUUCUGCAGAGGUCAAACAGCACCAAGAAGAGAUUACACAAAUUCCUCUUCCAAUGACUGUGGUGAACUAGAAAACUGUAAAGAUUAUACUGAGUAGCCAUGUCCUGUAUGAUGGGCUCCUGUGACAGAGCUUCAACAGAAAACAAUACUUGCCUUCAUU
Molecule: long non-coding RNA, 494 nt
Organism: Protopterus annectens (West African lungfish)
Lineage: Eukaryota; Metazoa; Chordata; Ceratodontiformes; Protopteridae
Exons: 3
Source: RefSeq, a predicted model, not a curated record